Oncorhynchus nerka (sockeye salmon) is the source of this 8478-nucleotide long non-coding RNA. RefSeq lists it as uncharacterized. NCBI's taxonomy places the organism in Eukaryota, Metazoa, Chordata, Actinopteri, Salmoniformes, Salmonidae. The transcript is spliced from 4 exons. The record is from RefSeq and is a predicted model, not a curated record.
UGCGUAAUGACGCAUUUACGCAGGAGCAAUGUCACAGUUGCAACACCGAUUUAUUCUAAACUGUAUAAUCAUUUUCAUAAACCACAGAUACGGAUGUUCAUCCUUAUUCCAACAACGAUUUGCAUAACAUUGCCAAUCCCUUGUGAGGGCCGUGUAGUGGGGCCCGUGAGCGGCAGAUGAGGCUGGGGUCCAGCUUCAGCGGCGCCCUGCAGCCUCCCAAUGGUCUCCCCCACUAUGAAGGCACUGGUGGAUGCCGCGUGGGCGGUGUGGAGCAUCGGUGCCUCCGUCUAUGACUACAUCCACACCAGCGCCAUGGAGGAGCGCAUCCACACGCUGGAGACCGUCACCACCAUUCACCAGUGUGUCAUCGCAGCGCUGACCGCUGGAGUGGUGGUGCUCUUCACCUACAUACUGUUGAGGAAGCACUGAGGGGGAGUGAGGAAGGAGAAGCCACGCAGGGCCCAGGAGGCAAGUUGAGGACAACACUGGAUUACCAUAGUGAUCAGAAGCAUUGAGAGUGUGGGUCUGGAAAGUCAUCCAGACCUACAUGGAUGAGAUGGGGCAGGACAUGAUUAAUAAGGGAUUUUGGCUACUAGAAAAGUUUUUGGCUAUUUGGCCUUUAUCUCGACUGCCAAUUGUACCAUUCUACCACGGAGGUGUUGCUGGAUACUGUGUGUCUCAGUGAGUCAAUAGUUUCACUCGCUUUGCACCAAUGGAAGAAGACAUGGGCAGAAUAUGCAUCGAAAUGUAUCUUUUUACAAAUACAAGUUACUUUAAAGUAGAGGUCGACCGAUUAUGAUUUUUCAACGCCGAUACCGAUUAUUGGAGGACCAAUAAAAGCCGAUACCAAUUAAUCGUAUCGGCUUUUAUUGGUAUAUAUAUAUAUAUUUGUAAUAAUGACAAUUACAACAAUACUGAAUGAACAAUGAACACUUAUUUUAACUUAAUAAAAUACUUACAUAAAAUCCAUUUAGUCUCAAAUAAAUAAUGAAACAAACUCAAUUUGGUUUAAAUAAUGCAAAAACACAGUGUUGGAGAAAAAAGUAAAAGUGCAGUAUGUGCCAUGUAAAAAAAGCUAACAUUUAAGUUCCUUGCUCAGAACAUAUGAAAGCUGAUGGGUCAAUAUUCCCAGUUAAGAAGUUUUUGGUUGUAGUUAUUAUAGAAAUUAUGACGCGUCGACUAUUUCUCUCUAUACCAUUUGUAUUUCAUAUACAUUUUGACUAUUGGAUGUUUUAAUAGGCACUUUAGUUUUGCCAGCCUAAUCUCGGGAGUAGGCUUGAAGUCAUAAACAGCGCUGUGCCUCCAACAUUGCUAAGAGCUGCUGGCCAACGCAGUAAAGUUUGAAUGAAUGCUUACGAGCCUGCUGCUGCCUACCAGCGCUCAGUCAGACAUAUUGAACGGGUGGCAACCCUAAGUCUAAAUAUUGCGGUUACAUUGCACAACCUUCAAUGUUAUGUCAUAAUUAUGUACAAUUCUGGCAAAUUAGUUUGCAACGAGCCAGGCGGCCCAAACUGCUGCAUAUACCCUGACUUUGCUUGCACAACGCAAGUGAAGUGACACAAUUUCCCUAGUUAAUAUUGCCUGCUAUCAUGAAUUUCUUUUAACUAAAUAUGCAGGUUUAAAAAUAUAUACUUCUGUGUAUUGAUUUUAAGAAAGGCGUUGAUGCUUAUGGUUAGGUACAUUUGUGCAAAGAUUGUGCUUUUUUCGGCAAUGAGCUUUUGUUAAAUCAUCUCCCGUUUGGUCUGGUUGAAGUAGGCUGUGAUUCGAUGAUAAAUUAACAGCCACCACAUUGAUUAUAUGCAGCGCAGAACAAGCUCGUUAACCUAGUAAUAUCAUCAACCAUGUGUAGCUAACUAGUGAUUAUGUGAAGAUUGAUUGUUUUUUACGAGGUAAGUUUAAUGCUAGCUAGCAACUUACCUUGGCUCCUUGCUGCACACGCAUAACAGGUGGUCAGCCUGCCACACAAUUUCCUCGUGGAUUGCAAUGUCAUCGGCGUCCAUAAAUGCUGAUUACCAAUUGUUAUGAAGACUUGAAAUUGGCCCUAAUUAAAUCGGUGGGCCUCUACUCUAAAGACCAAUGUAUCAAACUAAAAUACAAAAUACUUUUGCAAAGUAUUGUAUUUAGAAUGAUUUAUUUUUUAAUACAAAAUACAUUUGCAAGUACACGCCUUCACUACAACAAUAGUCUUAGUAACGGAAACAAAAAACAACAACAUUUAACUUGCUAUGACUGUAAUAUGUGGUUGUUUAUCUACCUUGAUUGAAUGCACUGACUGUAAGUCGCUAUGGAUAAAUGUCUGCUAAAUGACCUAAAUGUAAAAAUGAACAAUUGCAAAGCACACUGGGUAUUAUUAUUGGCCUCAUUUUGUGGGUGGAGCUCAUCAAUAAUACCCACCAUGCUUUGCAGGUGGACAUUUUUACAUUUACAUGUUCACUCAGCAGACACUCAUAUAACACCAUAGUGCCGUGACUUCUGAUACCGAUGCAGGGUGACAGGGGGCCACCAAAUGUUGAACCGCUAUAAAAUAAAAAAUAGUAUAGAAAAUGAUUCUGCAUUUUGAAAAUAUAAAUGACAGGUCUCGAAAGUAUCUUGUUACAAACUACAUUGGAUUGUAGUUCAGGCCGGUGAAAUGCAAAUGACAAAAUAUUCCAAAGUAAUUUACAUUUCAAACACAUGUAACAGGAAUACUGCCCAUCUCUGGAUGUGGGGAUGCUAAAACCACAGAGAUACCUCAACCUGCAGACUGUAAUCUAAUAGCGCACUAAAGGGAUGCUAACUAUCAUUAGGUUUGCCUGCCUUAAUAUGCCUCAAGUGGUUUCACUCCCCAGAUGGAACAACAGUAUUAGUUAGAUAGGUUUUCAUGUUGGCACUAAUUGCUUAUCCCGCCUGUAUGAUGCAUGGGAAAACUGUAAACUGGGGAUUCCCUCUUCAAUACCAUGAUUGUACGAGGUGCCAGCCCAGUCUAUAAUUGGAAGUCUUGGUCAUGAAGAUGAAAGCGUUCACUUAAGACGUUAACUAUUAUAUCACCCAGUGAGGGAGAGUGGAAUAUCAUGGGACGGACUGAAUGUAUUCUCAAGAAGCCUUAUUUGUUGUAGAAAACUGGCCUCAAGGUUCUAUGAAUUACUCUGUAGGAGAAGGAGAGUUUCUGUGAAGCAUUCAAAGGUCAAUACACUGGUCGUCAUGAAUGCCAUUUAGUACAGUACAUGUUAUUUGAUAAAAACAACUUUAAAGCAUGCUUAUUUGAUUACUAAAAUAAAUAAAUGUAGAUGGUCUUGUAAUGCAAGACUUUGUAGUGGCAUUCCGUGGCGUUAGUUGAACAUGGCUACAGCUGUGAAGGUUACGUCACUGGAAAGAGUAAUUAGAGGCAUCCUUACCUGUAAAAUGUGAAUCAACCUGAAUGUUUUGGUACAUUGUUUAUAAAUGUUUCAGUAAUGCUUGCACUCAUCAUUAAAAGGGUAUUAAACACAUUGUAGGCCUUAAAAAAAAGCCAUGAAUGUUGUUUAAUCCAUUUAAAUUGUACACUUGCUACAAUAUAUGACGAAUACACAAUGUUUGCCCUAUCAUCUUGUUCAGAUUGCUAAAAUGGGCCUCAGUGAAAUGUUUCAGGUAAAUCAAAUGUGACAAAGGCCUCCAUGGCAAUACAACAUUUAAUAAUCUCCUGGAUCUUUGUGUGAAUAUACAGUGCCUUCAGCCUUAUUCUAAAAUGGAUUAAAUAAAAACAUUUCCUCAGCAAUCUACUCACAAUACCCCAGAAUGACAAAGCAAAUACAAGUUCUUAGUAUUUUUUGUUAAUAAAAAAAUAAAUGAAAAACAUACCUUAUUUACAUAAGUAUUCAGUCCAUUUGCUAUGACACUCGAAAAUUGAGCUCAGGUGCAUCCUGUUUCCAUUGACAAUCCUUGAUGUUUCUACAAAUUAUUUUGUAGUAGUCCACCUUUGGUAAAUUAAAUUGAUUGGACAUGAUUUGGAAAGGCACACACCUGUCUAUAUAACAUCCCACAGUUGGCAGUGCAUGUCAGAGCAAAAACCAAGCCAUGAGGUCAAAGGAAUUGUCCGUAGAGCUCAGAGAUAAGAUUGUGUCGAGGCACAGAUCUGGGGAAGGGUCCCAAAAAAAUUGCUACAGCAUUGAAAGUCCCAAGAACACAGUGGCCUCCAUCAUUCUUAAAUGGAAGAAGUUUGGAACCACCAAGAUUCUUCCUAGAGCUGGCCGCCCCGCCAAACUGAGCAAUUGGGGGAGAAGGGCCCUGGUUAGGGAGGUGACCAAGAACCCGAUGGUCACUCUGACAGAGCUCUAGAGUACCUCUGUGGAGAUGGGAGAACCUUCCAGAAGGACAACCAUCUCUGUAGCACUCCACUAAGCAGGCCUUUGUGGUAGAGUGGCCAGACGGAAGCCACUCCUCAGUAAAAGGCACAUGACAGCCCGCUUGGAGUGUGUCAAAAGGCACCCAAAAACUCUGACCAUGAGAAACAAAAUCUUCUGGUCUGAUGAAACCGAGAUUGAACUCUUUGGCCUGAAUGCAAAGUUUCACAUCUGGAGGAAACCUGGCACCAUCCCAACGGUGAAGCAUGGUAGUGGCACCAUCAUGCUGUGGAGAUGUUUUUCAGUGGCAGGGACUGGGAGACUAGUCAGGAUCGAGGCAAAGAUGAACAGAGCAAAGUACAGAGAGAUCCUUAAUGAAAACCUGCUCCAGAGUACUCAGGACCUCAGGCUGUGGCGAAAGUUCACCUUCCAACAAGACAAUGACCCUAAGCACACAGCAGAAACAACGCAGGAGUGGCUUCAGGUCUGAAUGUCCUUGAAUGUCCCAGCCAGAACCCAAUCGAGCAUCUCUGGAGACCUGAAAAUAGCUGUGCAGCAACGCUCCCCGUCCAACAUGACAGAGCUUGAGAGGAUCUGCAGAAAAGAAUGGGAGAAACUCCCCAUAUUUUACUGCUGCUCUUUAAUUACUUGUUCCUUUUAUUUCUUAUUCAUAUAUUUUUUUAACUGCAUUGUUGGUUAGGGGCUUGUAAGUAAGCAUUUCACUGUAACGUCUAUCUACACCUGUUGUAUUCGGUGCAUGUGACAAAUAACAUACCCAAGAAGACUCAAGUCUGUAAUCGCUGCCAAAGGUGCUUCAACAAAAGUACUGAGUAAAGGGUCUGAAUACUUAUGUAAAUGCGAUAUUUCACUUUUAUUUUGUAUAAAUUAGCAACAAUUUCUAAACACCUGUUUUUGAUUUGUCAUUAUGGGGUAUUGUGUGUGGAUUGAUGAGGAAAACAACUAUUUACAUUUUUGAAUAAGGCUGUAAUGUAACAAAAUGUGGAAAAAGUCAAGGGGUCUCUACUAAGGUACAGGAGAGUGCAAUGUUCUGCAAUGUUCUGACUGCAGAUAAAUGUCUUGUAUAGAGCUGAAUCUGUUAACACUAAUCAAGAAAAGGUUUUGCAGAGCACUGGUUGGUCAGUGGAUCUACUGCUAUCCCUAGGCUCCAAUCUGAGGAAGCAAGUCAGGGGUCGUUAUGCUCAUAAUACUCACAUGUAUUUAAGUAGUCAUGUGACGCACUGGUUAUUGAAACAGAAGAACGAUAAUCCCAUGUGCUACAAUGUGUGAUAUUGACCUACAGAUGGAACACUGUAGAAACACCCUGACCAAGGAGACUGCAGAGAUGCUUUUAUUUCAAGUUAACAGCGACAAAAUUAAUGUUUUGUAAAUACGUAAUAAAUGUUAUUUUCACUGAUGUGUACAUUUUUUAUUUUACCUUUAUUUAACCAGGCAAGUCGGUUAAGAACACAUUCUUAUUUUCAAUGACGGCCUGGGAACAGUGGGUUAACUGUCUGUUCAGGGGCAGAACGACAGAUUUGUACCUUGUCAGCUCGGGGGUUUGAACUCGAAACCUUCCGGUUACUAGUCCAACGCUCUAACCACUAGGCUACGCUGCCGCCCCAGCGGCAUUAACAUAACUCUUCAAAAAAUAAAAUGAUUAAAGUUGUAAACUUGUAUGAAAGACCACGUUGAAUACAAAAUGUAAGGAAAUGUAAAGUACAAAUUGAACUCGAUCAUAUAAAGUGUGUUCUAGAUGUGUCCAGUCUGCAGCAGGGUGUACUGGGCAGUGAAUCUCUCCACACUCUCCCCCUCCAGCAGCUUCAUGGCUCUCCAGUGGAUCUUCCCACAGCUUUCUGGCUGGCCGCUGGGCCCAAGCUCCUCUCGGAUGUACUCCAGCCACAGAUCUGGAGGGAAAAAGCCAUACAGACAGUCCUGAGUGACCAUCUCAACUUACUUUAUCCCAGAAAACUACAUGGAAGUAAAGGUUUAUACUCAUGCCAUACUAAAACACCUCAAAUCAGCUAAUCAAAGUUGCUGUUGAUUCAGGUGUGUUAAUGUUGGGCUGGAAUAAAAGCCUGCAAAACCUGUAGUUCCAACCAUCUUGGGAGUCUCCUAAAAGAACAGUCACACCAUUCCAGUUAGUACAACAGCCUUGCCAAUGACCAUAGCCCGUUGGCUAUGCAGCACAAACAGAUCUGGGAACAGACUUACAAAAAUCCUAACAUUAGUGUGAAAAGUUAAACCCUUUAUGCAACAUUUUGUACAUAAAGCCACAACAAUGUGUGGAAAUAUUGGAACAACCGGCUAGUUUGAGACGAUGCCUUGGUUGGUUGCAACAUAUAUUUGUCUGAGCAUGGACUAUCUUUCCGAUUUGGUCCUGCGUACAUACCUACACAAACGCUACGGUCACAAGACGCAGGCCUCCUUAGUGUCCCUAGAAUUUCUAAACAAACAGCUGGAGGCAGGGCUUUCUCCUAUAGAGCUCCAUUUUUAUGAUAUUUUCUGCCUACCGAUGUGAGAGACGCAAACUCGGUCUCAACCUUUAAGUCUUUACUGAAGACUCAUCUCUUCAGUAGGUCCUAUGAUUGAGUGUAGUCUGGCCCAAGGAGUGUGAAGGUGAACGGAAAGGCACUGGAGCAACGAACCGCCCUUGCUGUCUCUGCCUGGCCGGUUCCCCUCUCUCCGCUGGGAUUCUCUGCCUCUAACCCUAUUACAGGGGCUGAGUCACUGGCUUACUGGUGCUCUUCCAUGCCAUCCCUGGGAGGGGUGCGUCACUUGAGUGGGUUGAGUCAUUGACGUGAUCUUCCUGUCUGGGUUGGCGCUCCCCCUUGCGUUGUGCCGUGGCAGAGAUCUUUGUGGGCUAUACUUUGUGGUUGAAGAUAUCCCUCUAGUGGUGGGGGGGGGUUGUGCUUUGGCAAAGUGGGUGGGGUUAUAUCCUACCUGUUUGGCCCUGUCCGGGGGUAUCGUCGGAUGGAGCCAUAGUGUCUCCCGACCACUCCUGUCUCAGCCUCCAGUAUUUAUGCUGCAGUAGUUUGUGUCGGGGGACUAGGGCCAGUCUGUUAUAUCUGGAGUAUUUCUCCUGUCUUAUCCUGUGUCCUGUGUGAAUUUAAGUAUGCUCUCUCUUUCUUUCUUUCUCUCUCUCUCUCUCUCAGAGGACCUGAGCCCUAGGACCAUGCCUCAGGACUACCUGGCCUGAUGACUCCUUGCUGUCCCCAGUCCACAUGGCCGUGCUGCUGCUCCAGUUUCAACUGUUCUGCCUGCGGCUAUUGAAUCCUGACCUGUUCACCGGACGUGCUACCUGUCCCAGACAUGCUGUUUUCAACUCUCUAGAGACAGCAGGAGCAGUAGAGAUACUCUGAAUGUGAUCGGCUACGAAAAGCCACCUGACCUUUAUUCCUGAGGUGCUGACCUGUUGCACCCUCGACAUCCACUGUGAUUAUUAUUAUUUGACCCUGCUGGUCACCUAUGAACAUUUGAACAUCUCCACCCGACACAGCCAGAAGAGGACUGGCCACCCCUCAUAGCCUGGUUCCUCUCUAGGUUUCUUCCUAGGUUCUGGCCUUCCUAGGGAGUUUUUCCUAGCCACCAUGCUUCUACACCUGCAUUGCUUGAUGUUUGGAGUUUUAGGCUGGGUUUCUUUACAGCACUUUGAGAUAUCAGCUGAUGUAAGAAGGGCUUUAUAAAUACAUUUGAUUUGGAUUUGUUCUCGUUUCCCCAUACAUUGUGACUCGACUCACUUGAUCUUUCUCCAUCUGGAUCAUUCGGGUGAAAAAGGCCUUGGAGUAGGGCCGGCUCUCAUGCAAACUGGAAAAUAAGAGAAGGUCCAACGUUGUUUUUCCUUCUUCAAAAUGCUGAACUCAAAUGCAUAUUAAUAAGUCGUCAUCUAAACGAGGAUACCUUGUACAAAAUAACUACUGUGAAUUACAAUCGUAAUUUUACUGAUUUGGCCUUCACAAUGCAGAACUGGGCUUCAGUUUCCUCUGGGCUCUGUGAUGUCAUGCUCCACUCCACCUGCAGCUGCCACAGGGGCAAACUCGACUGUCAACAGACAAGACCAGGGUGGUUAACAUCAGAGACAAUCCCACUGAGCCCAUAUUAUUUCGCAACUCACACCCCGGAUCAACAAUGUCUUUGUGACUACAUAAUUACAUCACAGUCAGCCCCUUCCCGUGAGCUGCCC